Long non-coding RNA from Macadamia integrifolia, 1217 nucleotides. RefSeq lists it as uncharacterized. The transcript is spliced from 2 exons. The record is from RefSeq and is a predicted model, not a curated record. NCBI's taxonomy places the organism in Eukaryota, Viridiplantae, Streptophyta, Magnoliopsida, Proteales, Proteaceae.
AAAAAAAAACACAAGAAAAAUAAAAGUAGUACUAUCCAAAGUGGGGCAAAAUGUACACUUAUAUCCCUAAGAUUUCACACAUUAUUGUGCUCAUCACUCCACUUCCCCAUUUGUCUGGGUGUGGGAACACAGACAGGCAUAGUUCUCUUUCCCAUAUAAUGAGUAUUGUAAUAGUAAUAAUUAUUAUUAUUGUUAUUAUUAUUAUUAUUUGAUAAGCAGCAUUCACAGGAUUGUUGGCCUUUUCUGGCUAUUUUGGGGCGUCCAGAAUUUUAUAGCACUAAAUCCCUGAUUGUUAACCCCUGUGAACAGGAUUUAAACAGGGUGGAAUGGUGUAACAGGAUUAUUUGGAUGUUUGAAAUUCUUCAAGUGUUUGUCGGGAGAAUGAUGGAAAUAUUGGGCUGUUUAUACUGCUCAUGAUACCUCUGUUAUUAUUAUUAUUUUUUUUUUCUAGAUUUUUUCCCUUUAUGUAUAAAGAGUUGCAGUUAAAAUGAUAUUCUAUCGAUAAUCUAUUAUGAUCAAUGUAAAAGAACCAUGGUUCUUUAGAGUCAGUUACCAAGUUUUUGUGCAUCUUAGUUUCUGUAUUUUGCUGGAGUUCAUGAUUUUUUUCGUUAUGGUCAUAUGCUGAAGAUCUUGUCGAAGCAUGUAGCCAUGUAGGAGUUUGGGUUUUGGAUUUCUUUAGCAGACUCUGUUCAUAGACCAGAAUGUUAAUGAAAAUCCACUUUGUUGAUUACAUGUUUUCAGGCUGAUGGUGUUCAAGAAAUGGCAGCUGUGGCAGGUGCUGUCCCAGCUGUGGAACAAAGGGAGGAGCUUUACGACCCUUUGGCUACACCAGACGUUGAUAAGUUAAAUGCAUCUUACCUUGCAAUUCAUGGAAGAGCCAUGGUGGGCCGGCCUUUAUGGCUGCGGACUUCAGAACUUUCACAGCAAGCGUAACUUCUUGAUGUUGUACAUCAGUAAUAUCUCUUCAUUCCUUUGGUGCUUCAGUAAUGUUUAAGAGGCAAAUCAGGUGUGCCACAAGUAGGUUAAAAAUUUACAAGAAGGAAGAUUCAAUGGGUGAGAGAUCAGAGAAGCACAUGUUUUAGUACUGUAUAUCGAUGAAGCUUUUAAAUUUAUUUCUUAAUUGUUAAGGUUUGAGCAUUAGUGAACAGUAGACACUCUGAUUCAUUGAAUCCAAUUCUUCUAUAAUUUUGAAUAAAUUUUCCUUCCUUGAUAAAAAA